This 575-nucleotide ribosomal RNA is filed under the name uncultured Neocallimastigomycetes. RNAcentral's name for it is "partial large subunit ribosomal RNA". It matches the Rfam family "Eukaryotic large subunit ribosomal RNA", at positions 202 to 629 of the family's 3401-position model. Lineage: Eukaryota; Fungi; Neocallimastigomycota; Neocallimastigomycetes. The record is from RNAcentral.
UCAUAGAGGGUGAGAAUCCCGUAUUUGACCAUUAUUUUCAGCUGUGUGAUACACUUUCAAAGAGUCGGAUUGUUUGGGAAUGCAGUCCAAAAUGGGUGGUAAAUUUCAUCUAAAGCUAAAUAUUGGCGAGAGACCGAUAGCGAACAAGUACCGUGAGGGAAAGAUGAAAAGAACUUUGAAAAGAGAGUUAAACAGUACGUGAAAUUGUCAAAAGGGAAGCGUUUGACACCAGUGUUGUUUUCUCGAAAAUCAAUUAAAAAAAGUUGGAUUUUGUGUUUGUAUGACCUUAACAGCUUCUUUCACUUUUUUCCUGCUUUUUUUAACGCACUUUUCGUUUAACAAGUCAACAUCAGUUUCUUUUGUUGUAAAAAGGUCAUUGGAAGGUGGCUUUCUUUUCAGAGAAAGUGUUUAUAGCCUUUGACUCCUGCAAUCGGAGAGACUGAGGUCUGCAGCGUAGAUCCUUCGGGGUUAGAUACAUUUGUGCUAAGUUAUAGCUUUUCAUAGACAACUUGUUGACUAUGUUUAGUCAUGUAGCUUACUCGCUUAUGCUAUUUUACCUACGCUUAGGAUGUUGA